ACGGAAGGCAGCAGUGGGGAAUAUUGGGCAAUGGGCGCAAGCCUGACCCAGCAACGCCGCGUGAAGGAAGAAGGCUUUCGGGUUGUAAACUUCUUUUAAGGGGGAGGAGCAGAAGACGGUACCCCUAGAAUAAGCCACGGCUAACUACGUGCCAGCAGCCGCGGUAAUACGUAGGUGGCAAGCGUUGUCCGGAUUUACUGGGUGUAAAGGGCGUGCAGCCGGGGAAGCAAGUCAGAUGUGAAAUCCAUGAGCUCAACUCAUGAACUGCAUUUGAAACUGUUUCUCUUGAGUACUGGAGAGGCAAUCGGAAUUCCUAGUGUAGCGGUGAAAUGCGUAGAUAUUAGGAGGAACACCAGUGGCGAAGGCGGAUUGCUGGACAGCAACUGACGGUGAGGCGCGAAAGUGUGGGGAGCAAACAGGAUUAGAUACCCUGGUA
The sequence is a ribosomal RNA, 436 nucleotides long. It matches the Rfam family "Bacterial small subunit ribosomal RNA", at positions 341 to 792 of the family's 1533-position model.